This 497-nucleotide ribosomal RNA is filed under the name uncultured bacterium. RNAcentral's name for it is "partial 16S ribosomal RNA". It matches the Rfam family "Bacterial small subunit ribosomal RNA", at positions 28 to 507 of the family's 1533-position model. The record is from RNAcentral.
GAUGAACGCUGGCGGCGUGCCUAAUACAUGCAAGUCGAGCGAACAGACGAGGAGCUUGCUCCUCUGACGUUAGCGGCGGACGGGUGAGUAACACGUGGAUAACCUACCUAUAAGACUGGGAUAACUUCGGGAAACCGGAGCUAAUACCGGAUAAUAUAUUGAACCGCAUGGUUCAAUAGUGAAAGACGGUUUUGCUGUCACUUAUAGAUGGAUCCGCGCCGCAUUAGCUAGUUGGUAAGGUAACGGCUUACCAAGGCAACGAUGCGUAGCCGACCUGAGAGGGUGAUCGGCCACACUGGAACUGAGACACGGUCCAGACUCCUACGGGAGGCAGCAGUAGGGAAUCUUCCGCAAUGGGCGAAAGCCUGACGGAGCAACGCCGCGUGAGUGAUGAAGGUCCUCGGAUCGUAAAACUCUGUUAUUAGGGAAGAACAAAUGUGUAAGUAACUAUGCACGUCUUGACGAUACCUAAUCAGAAAGCCACGGCUAACUACGUG